Molecule: long non-coding RNA, 2099 nt
Filed under: Gallus gallus (chicken)
Lineage: Eukaryota; Metazoa; Chordata; Aves; Galliformes; Phasianidae
Source: RNAcentral
CCUGUGCCUCCUGCUCCUCCACCAUCUGAUCCAAGAUGGGCAUCAGCCAAUCCUCAAACUUGCAGUAGUUAUCAUUGGGCACCAGCAGGUUUCCAAUCCGGUUGAUGCCGUUCUGGCGCAGCUCUCUGCCCUUCAGGCUGAAGUCCCCCACGUAGGUGGGUGCCAGGCACUUAAUGAGGUCCUCCUCCACGCCGCCCGCCGUCGUCACCACCACAUCCACCAUGCGGUGCUGCACGAGGAAGCGGAUGCUCUCCCGCACCCCGGAGCUGAUGAGGUUGGAGGUGAAGCCCAGGAAAAUGGUGCAGCCCGAAGCCGCCCCCCCGGCGCCCCCCAACUCAGCCCGGCUGCGCUCCGCCGCGCUCAGCGGCUCCAUUUUGGCCGAGAUCAUGCGGCGGAUCUCGGCGACGGCCCGAGCGAAGCUCGUGGCCUGGAAGCCCGUGGUGAGGAACGAACGCAGCACCGCGCCGGGGUCGGGGCCGUCCGCGAAGUCGUAGCCGCGCACCGGGAGGGUCGGCGAGGGGAGCGGAGCGCUGCGCUUCAACACCGCGCGGAGGGCGGCGGCGGGGGCCUCCCCCUGGGGGGGCUCCUCCGCCGGGCCGCCGAGCUCCGUGGGCCCCAUGGGCGCCGCCAUCUCGGGCCGCCCCCUUGCGCCUGCGCGGUGGCGGAGCCGUACGGCCCCGUGACGACAUGUUGUUAUAGGGACGUAACGCGGAGCGCCGCCAUCUUGUUGUACGGCGCGGCCGUACGGCUGGGCGCCGCCAUCUUGAAGCGGGAACAGUGGCCGCAGUGGGACAGAAGCCGGCAGGCAGCGAAGCGGCAAAGCACAGCGAGUUCUUUCUAAACCCCAACCCCAAAUCCUGAUACCCCCAAACACCGAAACCCCAAAUCCCGACCCACUGCGGCCAAACCCCCACUCCUAACCCCCAUAACUCCAAACCCUGACCCCAAAUCGCAAACCCGCAGCAUCCCACCCCCCCCCAGACAGACCACAGCCACGCACCUCCAGCCAAAUCCCUUUAAUUCCUGCACCAAGGGCCCCUCUGAGCCCGUGGGGACCCCUCUGAGCGCCUGGGGGGGGGUCCCCAUCUUCGGCCAUGGGGUGGGGUUGAGGGGCACAGCCCCCAGUCCUGGGGGGGAGGGGGGAUGGGUCACACGGCCACACUCAGCCUCCAAACUUCCACACCUCCACUGAGAGACCCCCCGAGGCAGCCGCCACCACGUCGCCCUCCACGCUGAUCUGAGAGGGGGUAAAUGGGAGGGGGAGGGGGGUCAGGGGGGGAUCCAGGAGGGGAAAUGUGUGACCCCCCCUCCCCUCUUACCCCAUUGAGAACAUCGUCGUGUGUCCAGGAGCAGAUGGUGCGGGGGGGGUCCGUGGGGACGUGGAUCUGUAACGCAGAGGUGUCAUUUCCUCCUCUCCCCCCCCAUUACGAUAUUAUUGGGGGGGGGGAGAGCACCAUGUGGACCCCACACAUCGCAACCCCCCCCCCAAUCCCAGGGCAUGAUGUGGGGUGUUGUGGGGGGGGUCCCUCACCCUCAUGGUGCGGUCGGUGGAGGUGGUGUACAAAGAGCCCUCAUUCUGCCACAGCCCCGUGAUCUGCAGGCGGUGCCCCACAUCGAAGCGCUGCAAUGGGGGCAGUGAGGGGGGGCUUAGAGCCCCAAAGACCCCCCCCUCCCCCCCCCAAGCCCUAUAGACGGCCCCAUACCCGCUCUGCCCGGAAGCGGCCGUCGCUGUUCCCGAAGACGUGGACCCGGCCCUGGUUGUCCCCAGCCCAGAGCUGUGUUCCCCGAUAGGACAUGGAGAGGAGCCCCACCUGCAGGCGCUGCAGGACGCCGUCAGCACGGCGGUCGAUGACCACGAGGGUUCUGUCUUCACUCCCGGAUACGAUGAGGCGAUCGUCGGCUGCCAAAGCCAACACUGCACUGCUGUGGGGUUCCUGUGAUGAUGGCAUCGGGGCAGAAGGAGAGACACAGCACUGCUGCCCUCUCCCUGUAUAAGGGGGAGGGGGGAGAAGGUCCCACAGCUUCACGGUGCUGUCCCAGGAGCCCGAGCACAGCGUGGUCCCAGCGGCAGCCAAACACCAAACCCAGCCCUGUAAUGG